Molecule: transfer RNA, 73 nt
Filed under: Apaloderma vittatum (bar-tailed trogon)
Lineage: Eukaryota; Metazoa; Chordata; Aves; Trogoniformes; Trogonidae
Rfam family: tRNA
About the family: Transfer RNA (tRNA) molecules are approximately 80 nucleotides in length. Their secondary structure includes four short double-helical elements and three loops (D, anti-codon, and T loops).
Source: Rfam by way of RNAcentral
GUUCAGUUAGCUCAGUUGGUUGAGCAUGGCCCUGACAGUGCCAAGGCCACAGGUUCGAUUCCCGUUCUGUCCA